This 3064-nucleotide long non-coding RNA is filed under the name Sus scrofa (pig). Its description in RNAcentral is "lncRNA (ENSSSCG00000063216.1)". The record is from RNAcentral. Lineage: Eukaryota; Metazoa; Chordata; Mammalia; Artiodactyla; Suidae.
GACCCCAAUCCCAUGACACCCUUCCUGAAAAGUUGAAAGUUAGAGCUGAAAAAGUCAAUACAUAUAAAUGUAUAUUACUGACUCUGUAAAAGAUGUGUAUUUCAUUCAGCAUGUUCAGAAUAUAAAAUCGUCUACUCUCUGGCAUUGAACUGUACUUGUAUCACCAUCAUCUACUGUUGGGUUUCCCAACUUCAGCCCUGUUGAUAUUUGGGGAGAGAGCACUACUCUGUGCAUUUUGGAUGUUCAGCAGCAACCAGACAGUAAAAAUGUAGGAGAUCCAGCUAAAACUGAAUUUCAAAUAAACAACGAAUAUUUUUUUUAAGGAUAAAUAUGCUCUGUACAAUAUUUGGACAUUCUAAUACUAAAUUUGUUUAUUUUCUUUUUUACGGCUGCACCCGCAGCAUAUAGAAGUUCCCAGGCUAGGGGUCAAAUCUUAGCAGUAGCUGAUGCCUACAUCACAGCCUAUCUGAGCAACAUCUGUGACCUACCUAUGCUUCAGCUUAUGGCAAUGUGGGAUCCUUAACCCACUGAGAGAGGCCAGGCAUUGAACCUGAAUCCUCAUGGAGACUACAUCAGGUCCUUAAUCCACUGAGCCACAAUGGGAACUUCAAUUUAUCCUUUGUUGAUCUAAAAUCUAAUGUAACUAGGUGAUCUGCAUUUUAUCUGUUGACUCUACACUAGGUACCAGUAACACAACCCACCUUCACCCCCAGUUGCAAUAAACAAAAACAUUUCCAAAUAUUGCCAAAUGUCCCUUGGGAUGCAAAAUCACCUUCGGUUGUGAACACUUAAUCUACAUAAUAAAAUAAAUAAAUAAAUUAAAACCCUCAUAAAAUGGGAAAGACUGAGAAAAAUAUGUGGAAAGUUUUAAAUACAUGCAAGCUGGCGCUUGUUGCUAUUUAUCUGCAAAGCUAACAGAUCCUAGGGUCACAAGACACAUGGAUACUAGCAUGGCUCUUGGAGGACUAGUGUACAUCACUGUUGGUGGGGGACCAGUAUCCUGGGAAUAAUCUUGCCCCACCUGCCCCUUUCAAGCCUUGGAGCCUCAGGGCUGUGCAGCAGGACUAGGCAUGAUCUCCCAUCCCCCACUCACCCUCUAAUUUAUGUUAAUUAUUUUCUUCCCUCCCCCUCCCCCUUAGUCCUCAGGCUUUGCUUAGGAGCAAGUGGCUCUCUCGUUCAAGCACCUAAGUUUGAAGGCACCAGGAGACAAUUGUCUGGCAGAGCUGGUCAUGAGGUCCUCCUAUUAAGACCCAAUUUUAGCUUUACUGGUAGGAAAAGCUAAACAGAAGAGGGGCUGAAUGGGUCUAUGCCCGUCCCUCUCUCUCUCUCUUUCUGACUUUUCUUUCCUGCACCCCCAGUCUUCCUGUCCCUGGUAAAGACUUGGCAUUUGGAAUAUCCAUGCCUCACCCUUGCUUUCUAUACUGAUAACUAGGAACUCUUCCCUGGGGCCCCCUAACCCACCAGCUGCCUCUGCACUAUAUCAAAUUUGGCUCUGAAAAGAUUUCUCCAAAUAUAAGCCUGGUGCUCACACACAGAUAACAAUUGGGUGCACGUAUUAUAUGUCUUUAUAAACAAAGCUGUGUAUAUUUAUAGACCCAUAUCAAUGACAGAUCUGUAUGGAGAGAUAAUGGGGUUUUACAGAGAAAAAAAAAAAGGUGAGUCUUUUUGAAGCCUCUGACACAAAAUAAAAUAAAAUACCAAAUAAUACUCAGCAACAAAUCUCUUAAUAAGGGAGGGCUGUUAUCCAUCCCAGGACUGCUGGAGUUUAAAUGGAAGAUUUGUUUGGGAGGGCUCAGACCCUCACAGUAGGGAAGCAAGAUUUCGGUUCAGUUCUAGUCAUCUGCUGAAGGAUGAGUAUUUCAUUAUUUGCUCUGAGCUCUCUUGGUUGCUUGGAGUCAUUUACACCAUCUUCAAAGAGUUUGUAUUAACCAGCUACACAUGGCCUCAUAGCACAGUCCAAAAACAGAGAUGACAUUUAGUAAAAGCUUUAAGAAUGAAUGAAUGAAUUCAGUGAAAAAAAUAAAUUUGCUCCUGGAAGUCAGAGACGAAGACAGACAUGCCUAGGUAGAAAAAGAGACAGAACACAAAGAACAAGCAGUAAGAAUAAUGCCAGAGGGAAUAAUAGGUUCCAGGAUAAUGGCCCCAAUAAUUGGCCCAACUGGAGGUGGGUAAACUUCAGCUCAGGCUCUUUAUCCAGCAUGGGAGUUGGAACCAAUUUAGUUCUUAGGAUGGGUUGUUUUAUGCAUACAAUCAGGCCGACUAAAGGGAGAGGGACAGAGAUACAAAGAGGACAGACAGCAAGUGAAGGCACUGCAUCCAUAACCCACAUAUUCCAACUUCAACAUCUUCCUGAGUCAUCUGUCUCCUGCCUGACCUUUACAUGGAGAAGAAUGUUCUGUUCCUUUGAGGGCUUUUCAGUCUUUCAGAUGCCUUUAUCUUGGGGAUAUCCUCUUGAAUCUUGUCUUUAUAUAUAUCUAUAUAUAAAAAAGUAUUAUCAACUACAGUCACCAUGUUUUACAUAGAUCCUCAGACUUCGUUCAUCUUACAGCUGAAUGUUAGUACCCUAUUCUUUUACACUGACAGAAUUUACAUACAAUAAAAUGUGCAUAUUUUAAUUAUACAGUGCUGCGAGUUUUGGCAACUGUGUUCACAGAAAGCAGCUAUGACCCCAGAAAAGUCCCAUAGGGCCAGCGGGGUCCUGGAGCCAGCUCCUAUUCAGAUAAUGCCACACAUCUCAUCCCCACAUCCUGUGGUUACCUGAAAGAGGGCCAUGGGGGGAAAUCAGCAAACCCUGCAUUCAGAGAUCCCACACCCCAGAGAUCCAGUUCAGCAGCACACUGUUGCUCAUGCCCCUUCCCAGUCAAUCCCACAUGCCCAGAGGGGCAGAUCACCAGGGGUUUACUUUUGCUUGUUCUUGAACUUCAUGCAAAUGGAAUUGCAUUUUGUAUCUUGCGUCUUUCUAUCAACAUGAUAUCUGCGACAGUGAUCAGCAUUGUGAUUUUCUAGUAAUUUGUUCCCUUUCUGUUGCUAAGUAUGAUUCUGAUGUACAAAUAAAUCAUUUUAU